GCUUUACAUUUUGGUGACCUGGAACUAACACAGACAGUUGUUAUUAUGGCUAACUACAUCAAGAUUUCUUUGCAAUUGGUUUUGGUGCUUCUUUACUUUGGUUGGCCAUCACUUCAGUGCGAGUCGAGGAGUGUUUAGGUGGAUUGGAAUUCAGUCUAGUUAUGGUAGAUUUGCUUUCAGUCCGAUUGGUAUGUUUUGUUAUAUGUAGUGUGUGUCUCUUUUGAUUUUCAUUUUGGCUGAUUGAAAUCUGUGAUUGUAUAUCUGUCAAUCAGAGAAGCACUAAAUUGUGAACUGUUGAAAAUCAGCAUUGUGUUUGCUUACUGUGACCAUGUCCGAUAACUUUCAGGUGGAAUUCAACAUCGACAGAUCCAAAGCAGUUCUGAGCGUUCAACACGUAGAUACCUCUGUCUUUAUGUUUGACUGCAUUGAUUUCCAAGUUGAUUGUUGGUUGUGGAGAACCUGUUACUUUGUAGUGAAUGACUGCUUGAUGUCCAACCUGUACUUCAAAAUGAUUGGAGGAUUCAAGGUCAAAAGUGACAGCAGGUAUGGGAACAAAGAAAUGAUCUAUACAAACUGAUUGCUGACAAAGGUCAAUCAAUUUGAAUCUGUGAUAAUUUUAUGCAUGCAAGGGUGGAGACAGUUUCACUCUCAUGACAAUGGCCUCCAUCAGUACAUUUGUUGCUCUUCUGCUUGCCUGAGAGUGAUGGUAGCAUAAGGUGCGGUGUACGUAAACGAGCAAGUACAUGAAUCUGCUCGUGCAAGCAGAACUCGGAAACAUUUCAUGUGAGCAGAAAACAUGUAGAACGAGUCGUACAACGAACAUGCAGAAACUGGUAUAUUUACUUAUGCAGCAAACACAAGUACAUACUUCCAAC
Long non-coding RNA from Corticium candelabrum, 875 nucleotides. RefSeq lists it as uncharacterized. The record is from RefSeq and is a predicted model, not a curated record. NCBI's taxonomy places the organism in Eukaryota, Metazoa, Porifera, Homoscleromorpha, Homosclerophorida, Plakinidae. The transcript has 4 exons.